CACAAAUAUGAAGGCGGGCUGGAACCUCUCGGGGUUACAGCCUUGCUGAAUUAUUCACCCUUGUCUUUUGCGUACUUCUUGUUUCCUUGGUGGGUUCGCCCACCACUAGGACAAACAUAAACCUUUUGUAAUUGCAAUCAGCGUCAGUAACAAAUUAGUAAUUA
This 164-nucleotide unclassified non-coding RNA is filed under the name soil metagenome. RNAcentral describes it as "partial internal transcribed spacer 1". The record is from RNAcentral.